UGAACGCUAGCGACAGGCCUAACACAUGCAAGGUCGAGGGGCAGCGCGGGAGAAGCUUGCUUUCCUGGCGGCGACCGGCGCACGGGUGCGUAACAGGUGUGCAAUCUGUCCUAUACCAGGGCAUAGCCCAGCGAAAGUUGGAUUAAUUCUCUAUGUGAGCCGAGAGGGCAUCCUUUGGUUUGAAACGCGAGGGUAUAGGGUGAGCACGCUUCUGAUUAGCUAGUUGGUGAGGUAACGGCUCACCAAGGCGACGAUCAGUAGGGGUUCUGAGAGGAAGGUCCCCCACAUUGGAACUGAGACACGGUCCAAACUCCUACGGGAGGCAGCAGUGAGGAAUAUUGGUCAAUGGGCGGGAGCCUGAACCAGCCAAGUAGCGUGAAGGAUGACUGCCCUACGGGUUGUAAACUUCUUUUGUUUGGGAAUAAAUGAUACUACGUGUAGUAUUUUGCAUGUACCUUACGAAUAAGCAUCGGCUAAUUCCGUG
RNAcentral lists this ribosomal RNA (484 nucleotides) under uncultured bacterium. Its description in RNAcentral is "bacterial SSU rRNA". It matches the Rfam family "Bacterial small subunit ribosomal RNA", at positions 30 to 507 of the family's 1533-position model. The record is from RNAcentral.